Molecule: ribosomal RNA, 484 nt
Filed under: uncultured bacterium
Lineage: Bacteria
Description: partial 16S ribosomal RNA
Rfam family: Bacterial small subunit ribosomal RNA
Source: RNAcentral
AUUGAACGCUGGCGGCAGGCCUAACACAUGCAAGUCGAGCGGAUGAAGGGAGCUUGCUCCUGGAUUCAGCGGCGGACGGGUGAGUAAUGCCUAGGAAUCUGCCUGGUAGUGGGGGAUAACGUCCGGAAACGGGCGCUAAUACCGCAUACGUCCUGAGGGAGAAAGUGGGGGAUCUUCGGACCUCACGCUAUCAGAUGAGCCUAGGUCGGAUUAGCUAGUUGGUGGGGUAAAGGCCUACCAAGGCGACGAUCCGUAACUGGUCUGAGAGGAUGAUCAGUCACACUGGAACUGAGACACGGUCCAGACUCCUUCGGGAGGCAGCAGUGGGGAAUAUUGGACAAUGGGCGAAAGCCUGAUCCAGCCAUGCCGCGUGUGUGAAGAAGGUCUUCGGAUUGUAAAGCACUUUAAGUUGGGAGGAAGGGCAGUAAGUUAAUACCUUGCUGUUUUGACGUUACCAACAGAAUAAGCACCGGCUAACUUCGUG